Molecule: long non-coding RNA, 2221 nt
Filed under: Strigops habroptila (Kakapo)
Lineage: Eukaryota; Metazoa; Chordata; Aves; Psittaciformes; Psittacidae
Description: lncRNA (ENSSHBG00005014253.1)
Source: RNAcentral
AGAAAAGUAUUUGAUACAGUUGUACAUAAGAGUUUUCAUAUAUAAAUAUAUAUAUAUAAAAAUAUAUAUAUAUCUUUUACAGAGGCUAUUUUAAUCUUUAGUGCAUGGAAAACUGAGUGAGAAUUUACAAUUUUGGCAAUAUUGUUUUCAGUAUCAGGUUGCUGUUAAACUUUGUGAGAGAAAAUAAUUCUGGUGCCUUAAAUGCAUAAGCAGAACUGUUCCAAAGGGAUUGUCCUCUUUUCAAUGGAAGUUCCUUUAAAUCACGUUAUCAAUUGGGUUACUUAGCACAUAUUUCCUUCCCCUCUGAAAUUGAUUGCACUUAACACAUUUAGAAUGGAGAUCUUCAACUGUUUCAAAUGAAGUUUCUAGGGAAAAAAAAAUGUGCAGUGAGGAAUUUUGUAGCAACCUGACCUUGUCCUGGUGGUGGAAGAACUUAAAUUCCAUUUUUGUUUUCCAAAACUACAUAGAAAUUAAGAGUUUCAACUGUGACGUUUGAGCAGACCACACAAGAGGCACUAAAUAAUUCAGCAACAGUGCAGAGCCCCAAAACCAGCAGGCAAAGGGAUUUGUGACUGGAGAGCAUCAAUGCAAAACCAGUAACUCACAGAGUAAAUGUGGGGUGGUCACAUCCACUGCACUGCCCAAAGUGCCUCACAGCAGAGGCGUUAUCUGCCCCUAAUACACUGUCACAGCACUGGGCGCCUCCAGCCCUAAUGCAGCCACUUCCCUUCCCAGCUGGACACAGCUUUGCCUCUGGAAGGUGCGUGGAAUGAUGGAGCUUGGCCCUGUUUGGAAGGAAGAGCCUGUGCCAGUAAAAUGCAUUUUCACACCCAAAAAAAAAUCCAUCUGUUCUGGAGGGGGGUUUGAAACCAUAGAGCUGUUUUGACAACAAAGCUAAACUCACACUCCUGAGCUGACAGCUGUACCCUUAACUCAUCCGAUACUUCUCUUUCCUGCAACACAAUAUUACAUGCUCAUCGAACACCAUUAACCCAACCCGCAGCCAGACUCUCUAUAUGAAAAUAUCCUCUUCGAAUGAAUUAGGCUGCCUUGUGUAGCAGCCCUGGGCUGCUCAGAAACACUCAUUUAGAAGGGAAACUGUAUAGUUCUGGUUGAAAGUGCUCCGUUAAAUGGCAAUGUCCCAAGUAUUUUUAUGUGGUCUUUUAAGUUUGUCCACGAAUGGGGGGAAAAAGAACUACCCCCAUUGGUCACAGAGAUCUUUGUCACUUCUGACUUCACGAUGACGCUUUGUAUUUAUAGAAAGGCUGCUCUCUGUUGGUGUUGGUACCUGUGGAUGGAGGACUCCCAGUUAUUUGUAAUUUGAGUUCUGCUAACAUAAGGUUGCUAACUCUGGUGAUGACUACUUUGGGGGAAGGUUUAUUAGGGGGGGUUGUUACUCUUUUUUCCUUAGGAGCAACUCAGACGCCAGCUCCACUGAAGCCAAGUGGUGGAAAUCCACCUUUGCUCGUUCGGUGGCUCAAAACAAGCAUCGUAGGUAAGGACAGACACAUUUCAUUUGCUGUUCAGCUCCAUCACUUCGGGCUCUGCCCAUGAUGGUGGUUUCAGUGUGGACCAGCUGAACCUGACCUUGAGGAAGCGAGGCAUAACUCAGCCAGGUACCUGUCUGUAUCAGUUCCUGACUAUUGACACGUUUGCACUUUGGGGCAGGUGGCUGAUGAUGUUGAGUGCCAAGUCGAUUCAAAGCAAAGGAAAAUGGAUGUUUGGGAAUUACAAACCCAGCGUCAUUUCCCCUUUACCAGAGGGCAAACUGCGCUGCGGGAGCCCACUGGCAAGGUGCAAACAUUGGGAAUGAUUGGGAUUGGGGAAGAUAGGAAUGAUUUACUGAGCUCAUUUUGCUGGUGGAAAUGUCAUCACCAUUGCGGAUACCAAGCAUAUUUGCCACAUUAACAUUGGAAAGUAAUGUUUCUGCAUAAAGUUAACUGCCUAAUGUUCUGACUUCCACUAAAUAUGUGAAUUUGCUGCUUCUAAGAGGCAAUGUGAAAGAGGAAGUAUUACUUUUGUGUACAAAGUUAUUUAUUUAUUAGAAAAACUUGGUACAAUGUUGUACAUUGACAAACAUGUAAGAUAUUGAAGUGUCUAACAAAAUGGCAUUGAAGUGUCUUUAAUAAAGGUUCAUUUAUAAUAUUACAGCUGUUUGGUUGAGAGUGAGCAUUUGGGAGUUUGGGUUGAAAAUUCAAUAAAAGGCUAAUCUGUUGCUACA